AAGCUGUCCAAGGCCGCCCACUGAGCUGCCGAUGGCUGCAGAAGGUGGCCCGGAGCCUGGCACUGGCCCUGCUGUGCCUUGUGCUGUCCACUUGCGUGGGCCCCUACCUCUUCCCGUACUUCAUCCCCCUCGACGGUGACCGCCUCCUUCGCAACAAGAAACGCAAAGCCAGGUAAAUGAGGGCAGGUGUGAGGGCACGUGGAGUGGGGCUGACAUGAGUGGGGGCAGAGCCCAUGACCAAUGGGUUCUGUGUGUCCAAGUGUGUCUGACCGUCAACUCCAUGACUAGACAGAGACUGUGGUUGGCUGGCUGGCUGACGAAGCUUGGCUCUGUG
This 334-nucleotide long non-coding RNA is filed under the name Pan troglodytes (chimpanzee). RNAcentral describes it as "long non-coding RNA NONPTRT018266". The record is from RNAcentral. Lineage: Eukaryota; Metazoa; Chordata; Mammalia; Primates; Hominidae.